Molecule: transfer RNA, 79 nt
Filed under: Echinostoma caproni
Lineage: Eukaryota; Metazoa; Platyhelminthes; Trematoda; Plagiorchiida; Echinostomatidae
Rfam family: tRNA
About the family: Transfer RNA (tRNA) molecules are approximately 80 nucleotides in length. Their secondary structure includes four short double-helical elements and three loops (D, anti-codon, and T loops). Further hydrogen bonds mediate the characteristic L-shaped molecular structure. tRNAs have two regions of fundamental functional importance: the anti-codon, which is responsible for specific mRNA codon recognition, and the 3' end, to which the tRNAs corresponding amino acid is attached (by aminoacyl-tRNA synthetases). tRNAs cope with the degeneracy of the genetic code in two manners: having more than one tRNA (with a specific anti-codon) for a particular amino acid; and 'wobble' base-pairing, i.e. permitting non-standard base-pairing at the 3rd anti-codon position.
Source: Rfam by way of RNAcentral
GACCUCGUAGCUCAGCUGGUAGAGCAAGCGCGUACAAAGCCUAGGCGUCUUUGCGUGGGUUCGAAUCCCACCGAGGCUA